This 127-nucleotide small RNA is filed under the name Citrobacter freundii. Its description in RNAcentral is "RtT sRNA". It matches the Rfam family "RtT RNA". Rfam says of the family: This family represents a bacterial cis-regulatory element known as RtT RNA. The record is from RNAcentral. Lineage: Bacteria; Pseudomonadati; Pseudomonadota; Gammaproteobacteria; Enterobacterales; Enterobacteriaceae.
UUGCUAUCUGCAAUUUGUAAGAUUAGAACCUGCGGCAGGUUCGGUGUUGAGCGCAGCGAAACAACGGAGCCGGUUACGGCGACGGCCCGAAGGGCGAGCAAAGCGAGUCAUCCUGCACGACCCACCA